AUUGAACGCUGGCGGCAUGCCUUACACAUGCAAGUCGAACGGCAGCACGGGUGCUUGCACCUGGUGGCGAGUGGCGAACGGGUGAGUAAUAUAUCGGAACGUACCUUAUUGUGGGGGAUAACGCAGCGAAAGCUGUGCUAAUACCGCAUAAUCCCUAAGGGGGAAAGCGGGGGACCGUAAGGCCUCGCGCAAUUAGAGCGGCCGAUACCUGAUUAGCUAGUUGGUGAGGUAAAGGCUCACCAAGGCAACGAUCAGUAGCUGGUCUGAGAGGACGAUCAGCCCGCCUGGGACUGAGACACCGCCCAGACUCCUACGGGAGGCAGCAGUGGGGAAUUUUGGACAAUGGGGGCAACCCUGAUCCAGCAAUGCCGCGUGAGUGAAGAAGGCCUUCGGGUUGUAAAGCUCUUUUGUCAGGGAAGAAACAGCAGCUCUAACACAGUUUGCGAAUGACGGUACCUGAAGAAUAAGCACCGGCUAACUACGUGCCAGCCGCCGCGGUAA
RNAcentral lists this ribosomal RNA (501 nucleotides) under uncultured bacterium. Its description in RNAcentral is "partial 16S ribosomal RNA". It matches the Rfam family "Bacterial small subunit ribosomal RNA", at positions 30 to 523 of the family's 1533-position model. The record is from RNAcentral.